AUUGAACGCUGGCGGCAGGCCUAACACAUGCAAGUCGAGCGGACGACGGGAGCUUGCUCCUUGAUUCAGCGGCGGACGGGUGAGUAAUGCCUAGGAAUCUGCCUGGUAGUGGGGGACAACGUUUCGAAAGGAACGCUAAUACCGCAUACGUCCUACGGGAGAAAGCAGGGGACCUUCGGGCCUUGCGCUAUCAGAUGAGCCUAGGUCGGAUUAGCUAGUUGGUGGGGUAAUGGCUCACCAAGGCGACGAUCCGUAACUGGUCUGAGAGGAUGAUCAGUCACACUGGAACUGAGACACGGUCCAGACUCCUACGGGAGGCAGCAGUGGGGAAUAUUGGACAAUGGGCGAAAGCCUGAUCCAGCCAUGCCGCGUGUGUGAAGAAGGUCUUCGGAUUGUAAAGCACUUUAAGUUGGGAGGAAGGGCAGUAAGCUAAUACCUUGCUGUUUUGACGUUACCGACAGAAUAAGCACCGGCUAACUCUGUGCCAGCCGCCGCUGUAA
Molecule: ribosomal RNA, 500 nt
Filed under: uncultured bacterium
Lineage: Bacteria
Description: partial 16S ribosomal RNA
Rfam family: Bacterial small subunit ribosomal RNA
Source: RNAcentral